Non-coding RNA from Pteropus alecto (black flying fox), 74 nucleotides. Lineage: Eukaryota; Metazoa; Chordata; Mammalia; Chiroptera; Pteropodidae. The record is from Rfam.
GGCUCCAUAGUGUAGUGGUUAGCACAUCUGCUUUACACACAGAAGGUCCUGGGUUCGCACCCCAGGUGGAGCCA